AUGCAUAGAGACAUAGGUAAUACCUUUUGUUAUGUACAACAGAAGAUGGGGAAAAUAACGAAUGAAGCGAUUGCUUUGUCAAUCAAGCUUAUACAAUUGUCAUGCCUCAGAAUAUUUUCAGCAUUCAACAUAUUUCCAGGAAAACGCAUUUAUAUCUGUCAGCAAGUAUUUGAUCUUCAGCAAGGAGGGUGGACUGGUGGUAUUUCCAACUUGGUUGAUUUUGCCAUGCAGUUUACAUGGGAAGCAUGCAUUAAACACACUAGCUGCUAUGCUUGUACAGGUCAUCAAGUUGCUACCAUGAGAGAUUGA
RNAcentral lists this ribosomal RNA (309 nucleotides) under Triticum aestivum (bread wheat). RNAcentral's name for it is "partial small subunit ribosomal RNA". The record is from RNAcentral. Lineage: Eukaryota; Viridiplantae; Streptophyta; Magnoliopsida; Poales; Poaceae.